UCGCAAGAUUAAAGGUCAAAGGAAUUGUCGGGUAUCCGCACAAGCGCGUGGAUGAUGUGGAUUAAUUCGAUGCAACGCGAAAAACCUUACGUACCCUUGACAUGUCACUAACGUAGUAAAGAUACAUUAGGUGCUCAUAAGAGAAAGUGAACACAGGUGUGCAGGGCGGUCGUCAGCCGUGACAAAAGGACUGGGGUUAAGUCCCGCAUCGACAGCAACCCUUCACUUUAGGUUCUACGCAUGACCACUUUACAGAGAUUCCCCGUGACAACCUGCAGGAAGAGUGGGAUGAGGUCAUGUCUUCAAGGCCGUUUUGUGUUCGUCUUCACCCGUCAUACAAUGGUGCAUACAGAGGGUUUUCAACCCACGAGGAGGAUAUAAUCUCAGAAAAUGCAUUGUACUCGGGAUGGUAGUCGAUAACUCGCUUACGUGAACCGGGAAUCUCUGGUAAUAGCAGAUCAUAAUGUGGCUUAGAAUACGUUCCCGGGUCUUGUACACACCGCCCGUCAUACCAUGGGAGUGGGUCUUGCCAGAAACCCUUAGCCUAACCGCAAGGAGGG
Molecule: ribosomal RNA, 560 nt
Filed under: uncultured bacterium
Lineage: Bacteria
Description: bacterial SSU rRNA
Rfam family: Bacterial small subunit ribosomal RNA
Source: RNAcentral